GACGAACGCUGGCGGCGUGCUUAACACAUGCAAGUCGAGCGGUAAGGCCCUUUCGGGGGUACACGAGCGGCGAACGGGUGAGUAACACGUGGGUGACCUGCCCUCAGCUCUGGGAUAAGCCUGGGAAACCGGGUCUAAUACUGGAUAUGACUCCAUGACGCAUGUUGUGGGGUGGAAAGCCUUGUGCGGCCGAGGAUGGGCCCGCGGCCUAUCAGCUUGUUGGUGGGGUGAUGGCCUACCAAGGCGACGACGGGUAGCCGGCCUGAGAGGGCGACCGGCCACACUGGGACUGAGACACGGCCCAGACUCCUACGGGAGGCAGCAGUGGGGAAUCUUGCGCAAUGGGCGAAAGCCUGACGCAGCGACGCCGCGUGAGGGAUGACGGCCUGGUGUAACUCUUC
Molecule: ribosomal RNA, 401 nt
Filed under: uncultured bacterium
Lineage: Bacteria
Description: bacterial SSU rRNA
Rfam family: Bacterial small subunit ribosomal RNA
Source: RNAcentral